CUUCUCUGUACUUCAAUUCUACCUGGAUAAUCUCACUAUUCUCAAGACUUCAACCACAGUAAAUAGUGACCAUCCCUAACACUUCUAUCUAGAGCUGUGCUUUCAGCUCCUUACUGGACAUCUCCGCCUGCUUGUCUUCUAGGCAGUUAUAAUUCAUUGUGUUACACAUUAAAUUUUCCCUCUACCAGCGCUCUUUCACAUCCCCCAAAAUCCUGGUUCAUCUACUGAAUUCUCAGUCUUCAACGCUGCCACAUGUUUUAACACUUCUCCAACCUCAUACUGUCUAAUUUAUCCUUGAGUAGUGCCUUCUAUUUCCUCUUUUAUAUUGAAUUCAUUACCCCAGUUUGCUGAUUUUUCUCAAAAAAUUGUUUCUGAAUAUCAAUCCUCAUCACCAUCUUUUAUCUCGGUCCUAUAUCACCUC
RNAcentral lists this long non-coding RNA (421 nucleotides) under Homo sapiens (human). RNAcentral's name for it is "non-protein coding lnc-SNX7-8:1". The record is from RNAcentral. Lineage: Eukaryota; Metazoa; Chordata; Mammalia; Primates; Hominidae.